RNAcentral lists this ribosomal RNA (253 nucleotides) under uncultured bacterium. RNAcentral's name for it is "partial 16S ribosomal RNA". It matches the Rfam family "Bacterial small subunit ribosomal RNA", at positions 524 to 776 of the family's 1533-position model. The record is from RNAcentral.
UACGGAGGGGGCGAGCGUUAUUCGGAAUUAUUGGGCGUAAAGGGCGCGUAGGCGGCUGUACAAGUCAAAGGUGAAAUCCCUCGGCUCAACUGAGGAACUGCCUUUGAAACUGUACGGCUUGAGGCCGGGAGGGGGUAGCGGAAUUCCCAGUGUAGCGGUGAAAUGCGUAGAUACUGGGAGGAACACCAGUGGCGAAGGCGGCUACCUGGACCGGUACUGACGCUGAGGCGCGAAAGCGUGGGGAGCAAACAGG